CCUCUUCAAAAUGUGCACUCAGCUUUAUUGCCUGAUCUAUCAACCUCUCGGUCCUAUCGUAGUGCACUGAACCAACUAUUCCAUUGCGCAGGUAUCCUGAGAAACCCCAUCAAAAUUGUAUCUGAGUUUGCGACGGCACUUCGUUGAUCAGCUAGAUUAAACUGAAACUGCAAAUAAGUACAGGUACGCCAAAGACAGACAAGAAAUUUUUUACAGUAUAAAAACUUUUUUAAAAAGCAUUAGAAGCAUGGAUGCUGACAAAAAGAACUCUAAUUAGGGUUAUCAUAUUAAUAUAGAAAUGCAGUUUCCUUUCCCCUCUGUCGGUCCUCCCUAUUGACAGGUUUACAUCUGAAGACAAAUGUCAUAUUCAUAGGGAAACCAAAAAUCGCUAGCACCUAUUGUCUACAGAACAUAAUGCUCCAGCCUAGCAACACACGCGACUGCAAGAGAAGUACCUCUGUAAUUUCUACCUAUGUAAUUUCAUCAUCCAACUCUUCAUUCUCUAAUGUUGAUGUUGAAACUCUUAAAUCGCAUGAAUCAGGUGCUCUCUGGUAGUUGUUCUCUUACUGUGCCAAAAGCUUCAGGUUUAGAGCCACAACAUAAUAGUAGAAUUUAAUGAAAUACCAUAUCAGGUUCGAAGGUACCUUCCACCAACACAGCCUGAUUGAACAGUUGCACUACCUUAAUCAUACCAAGCUUUGCCGGUGACCAUGCUGCAAAAUUUCUUUGUGAUAUUAGUACAAGUUUAUCUUGACUCAAUCACGAGCAUAGUGGCCUUUUCUCCCUAAUCAACAUCGCUGCUUUCUCUCCUUCAUCACCAGGUCAUGCCAAACCUUGUUGCAUAACCUUCUGCACCCAUCGACAAUGAAUAUAGAAUAACCUGCUACACACGUCAACACUGAACAUCGAGCAUAGCAUAAAAAAACAUAUAUGGCAGAAGCACAACAAAGCACCCAUGUACAUCAGGG
RNAcentral lists this long non-coding RNA (968 nucleotides) under Triticum aestivum (bread wheat). RNAcentral's name for it is "long non-coding RNA (TAES_LNC017740)". The record is from RNAcentral. Lineage: Eukaryota; Viridiplantae; Streptophyta; Magnoliopsida; Poales; Poaceae.